Molecule: ribosomal RNA, 527 nt
Filed under: uncultured bacterium
Lineage: Bacteria
Description: bacterial SSU rRNA
Rfam family: Bacterial small subunit ribosomal RNA
Source: RNAcentral
GACGAACGCUGGCGGCGUGCUUAACACAUGCAAGUCGAACGGAGAUUAUUAAUGAAGCUUGCGAUUUAAUAAUCUUAGUGGCGGACGGGUGAGUAACGCGUGGGCAACCUACCCAUAAGAGGGGGAUAACAGCUGGAAACGGCUGCUAAUACCGCAUAAACUUUUUAAGACCCAUGUUUUAAAAAGGAAAGGUGGCGCAAGCUAUCGCUUAUGGAUGGGGCCCGCGUCUGAUUAGCUAGUUGGUGGGGUAACGGCCUACCAAGGCAACGAUCAGUAGCCGGCCUGAGAGGGUGGACGGCCACACUGGGACUGAGACACGGCCCAGACUCCUACGGGAGGCAGCAGUGGGGGAAUAUUGCGCAAUGGGGGAAACCCUGACGCAGCGACGCCGCGUGAGCGAAGAAGGCCUUAGGGUUGUAAAGCUCUGUUCUAUGGGACGAAGUCCUUGACUGUGAAUAAUGGCCAAGGUUGACGGUACCAUAGGAGGAAGCCCCGGCUAACUACGUGCCAGCAGCCGCGGUAAAACG